This is a non-coding RNA of Rattus norvegicus (Norway rat), 69 nucleotides long. Lineage: Eukaryota; Metazoa; Chordata; Mammalia; Rodentia; Muridae. The record is from Rfam.
GGGGAUUUAGCUCAAUGGUAGAGCGCUUGCCUAGCAAGCACAAGGCCCUGGGUUCGGUCCCCAGCUCCG